UGGGGAAUCUUGCGCAAUGGGGGAAACCCUGACGCAGCGACGCCGCGUGCGGGAUGAAGGCCUUCGGGUUGUAAACCGCUUUCAGCAGGGACGAGGCCUUAUGGUGACGGUACCUGCAGAAGAAGCUCCGGCUAAAUACGUGCCAGCAGCCGCGGUAAUACGUAUGGAGCAAGCGUUAUCCGGAUUCAUUGGGCGUAAAGCGCUCGUAGGCGGUCUGUUAGGUCGGCAAGUUAAAUCCGGGGGCUCAACCCCCGUCCGCUUCCGAUACCGGCAGACUUGAGUUUGGUAGGGGAAGGUGGAAUUCCUAGUGUAGCUAUGGAAUGCGCAGAUAUUAGGAAGAACACCGGUGGCGAAGGCGGCCUUCUGGGCCAUAACUGACGCUGAGGAGCGAAAGCUAGGGGAGCGAACAGG
RNAcentral lists this ribosomal RNA (411 nucleotides) under Verrucomicrobiota bacterium. Its description in RNAcentral is "Verrucomicrobia bacterium partial 16S ribosomal RNA". It matches the Rfam family "Bacterial small subunit ribosomal RNA", at positions 355 to 776 of the family's 1533-position model. The record is from RNAcentral. Lineage: Bacteria; Pseudomonadati; Verrucomicrobiota.